UGAGAAAGAAGUCACCUUGGCAAAUAGUCUGCAAGUUGGUUCCCUUCUCUAAAACAAUGGUUUACUUGAAUUCCAACUCUGUUCUUGAUGGUGUUAAUAGUAUCAAUAACUUGUCUUAGCUUCAGAUUUGUGCCCGAGUUGUUGAUUAGCAUCUUGGCUAUGAUUAUUUAAUCAAGUUCAAGAAUAAAAUCAGCGUACCCAUGUUGAUAGCACCAUUUUAGACCAAACUUAGUUACCAAAGACUCAACCAUGUUACUAUUAUUACAGUUGAUAGAAAUGGAGAAAGCCAUGAUCAAGUCUCCCUGACUAUCUUUUACAAUUCCCCCAAUGCCAGGCUUUCCAAUUUCAUGCAAAUAGCUAUUAUCUGUAAUAAUUUUUAUAGAGCUAACUGGUGGAGAACUCCAUAUGACUUACUUCCAUCUCUGAUCUAAGUUUCUCCACUGUGUAACAAAAAAUUGGCCAAUGAUUGACGUCUUGCAAAUUUCCAGCUGUUUUUGCCAAAACAAAUUUGAUAUUCUAAAAAACUUGAGAGCUCAUCCUGUUGUGCAGGAAAUAUCUUUGACCUCCAUAUUUGCACGCACACCAUUUUUUCCAUAAUUCCCAACAUAUAAUAGUAGGAGUGAUCUUCAACAAAGUUUUAUGGAUAGUAUUCUUUGUUUUUCUUUUUGGUCAGUUUCACAAAAAAUGAAACAUUUUCUUAUUUGACAAAUAUUUAAUGACAAAAAGUCUACAAAUGUAGGUACCAUUUAUUUGACAAAAAGUCAGGUACCAUUUAUUUGACAAAAAGUCUACAAAUGUAUACUCUUGUAAAUGUAGUUUUGAAAACAUGGC
RNAcentral lists this long non-coding RNA (831 nucleotides) under Solanum tuberosum (potato). RNAcentral describes it as "long non-coding RNA (STUB_LNC001343)". Lineage: Eukaryota; Viridiplantae; Streptophyta; Magnoliopsida; Solanales; Solanaceae. The record is from RNAcentral.